UCCACUUACUUAAUCCUCAAGAGGAAUUUGAAAAAAAUAUGGAGAGGCUCUCUGAUAUUUUGGCGUCAUGUCCUUCUGCUGCUCAGCCUCAAAGUAGCUCUGCAUCAUCAUGGUCUUUUCGGCAGCAGAAAGCCUCAGAGCGCUGGAAAGAAGCAAGACCAUACCACCUAAAAUGCCUUAUUUCAAAAGAGGCUGUUGGUCAUCCCCUGUGUUGGCUUUGCAACGAGCCUGCUGUUAUUAGGUGCAGAGAGUGUCUUCCUGAGGAGUGGUUCUGUGGGGACUGUGAUGUAUUGCAUCACAAAAAACAGCCACUCCACAACAGGGAAUGCGUGAUUCGUGGUUUUUUUGAAGCCAUUCCUCCAACCACAUGCAUCAUUAAAGGGGAAG
Long non-coding RNA from Xyrauchen texanus (razorback sucker), 387 nucleotides. RefSeq lists it as uncharacterized. The record is from RefSeq and is a predicted model, not a curated record. NCBI's taxonomy places the organism in Eukaryota, Metazoa, Chordata, Actinopteri, Cypriniformes, Catostomidae. The transcript is spliced from 3 exons.